Molecule: transfer RNA, 76 nt
Filed under: Tessaracoccus lapidicaptus
Lineage: Bacteria; Bacillati; Actinomycetota; Actinomycetes; Propionibacteriales; Propionibacteriaceae
Also listed under: 1 other name
Description: tRNA-Arg
Rfam family: tRNA
About the family: Transfer RNA (tRNA) molecules are approximately 80 nucleotides in length. Their secondary structure includes four short double-helical elements and three loops (D, anti-codon, and T loops).
Source: RNAcentral
GCCCCUGUAGCUCAGCGGAUAGAGCAUCUGACUUCUAAUCAGCCGGUCGCAGGUUCGAGUCCUGCCUGGGGCGCCG